Salmo salar (Atlantic salmon) is the source of this 1073-nucleotide non-coding RNA. NCBI's taxonomy places the organism in Eukaryota, Metazoa, Chordata, Actinopteri, Salmoniformes, Salmonidae. The record is from RefSeq and is a predicted model, not a curated record.
ACUUACUGCUGACUUAUUGGAGGGAGAGGUUUACUGGUACUUACUGCUGACUUACUGGAGGGAGAGGUUUACUGGUACUUACUGCUGACUUAUUGGAGGGAGAGGUUUACUGGUACUUACUGCUGACUUACUGGAGGGAGAGGUUUACUGGUACUAACUGCUGACUUAUUGGAGGGAGAGGUUUACUGGUACUUACUGCUGACUUAUUGGAGGGAGAGGUUUACUGGUACUUACUGCUGACUUACUGGAGGGAGAGGUUUACUGGUACUUACUGCUGACUUACUGGAGGGAGAGGUUUACUGGUACUUACUGCUGACUUACUGGAGGGAGAGGUUUACUGGUACUUACUGCUGACUUAUUGGAGGGAGAGGUUUACUGGUACUUACUGCUGACUUAUUGGAGGGAGAGGUUUACUGGUACUUACUGCUGACUUACUGGAGGGAGAGGUUUACUGGUACUUACUGCUGACUUACUGGAGGGAGAGGUUUACUGGUACUUACUGCUGACUUAUUGGAGGGAGAGGUUUACGGGUACUUACUGGAAGGAGAGGUUUACUGGUACUUACUGGAAGGAGAGGUUUACUGGUACUAACUGCUGACUUAUUGGAGGGAGAGGUUUACUGGUACAUACUGCUGACUUAUUGGAGGGAGAGGUUUACUGGUACUUACUGCUGACUUACUGGAGGGAGAGGUUUACUGGUACUUACUGCUGACUUAUUGGAGGGAGAGGUUUACUGGUACUUACUGCUGACUUAUUGGAGGGAGAGGUUUACUGGUACUUACUGCUGACUUAUUGGAGGGAGAGGUUUACUGGUACUUACUGCUGACUUAUUGGAGGGAGAGGUUUACUGGUACUUACUGCUGACUUAUUGGAGGGAGAGGUUUACUGGUACUUACUGCUGACUUACUGGAGGGAGAGGUUUACUGGUACUUACUGCUGACUUAUUGGAGGGAGAGGUUUACUGGUACUUACUGCUGACUUAUUGGAGGGAGAGGUUUACUGGUACUUACUGCUGACUUAUUGGAGGGAGAGGUUUACUGGUACUUACUGCUGACUUAUUGGAGGGAGAGGUU